This 402-nucleotide unclassified non-coding RNA is filed under the name soil metagenome. Its description in RNAcentral is "partial contains 5.8S ribosomal RNA, internal transcribed spacer 2, and large subunit ribosomal RNA". The stretch from base 4 to 120 matches the Rfam family "5.8S ribosomal RNA", at positions 39 to 154 of the family's 154-position model. The record is from RNAcentral.
GAUAAGAACGCAGCGAAAUGCGAUAAGUAAUGUGAAUUGCAGAAUUCAGUGAAUCAUCGAAUCUUUGAACGCACCUUGCGCCCUUUGGCUAUUCCGAAGGGCAUGCCUGUUUGAGUAUCAUGAACACCUCAACUCUUCACGGCUUGCCGUGAUGAGUUUGGACUUUGGGGGUCUUGCUGGCCUACGAGCCAGCUCCUCUCAAAUGUAUUAGCUUGCCGGUGUUUGGUGGCAUCACAGGUGUGAUAACUAUCUACGCUUGUGGUUUUCCACUAGGUAACCUUCAGCAAUGGAGGUUCACCGGAGCUCACAAAUGUCUCUCCUUGCCAAGGACAGAUUUUGACCAUUUGAUCUCAAAUCAGGUAGGACUACCCGCUGAACUUAAGCAUAUCAAUAAGCGGAGGA